CCAGUGGCGCAAGGGUGAGUAAGGCGACGGUAACCAACCCCGUGAUUGGGUAUAGCCGCGGGAAACUGCGGGUAAUCCCCAGCGACGUCCUGUUCCGGCAUCGGGACAGGACCAAAGCUCCGGCGUCGCGGGACGGGCCGUCGUGGUAUUAGGUGGUUGGCGGGGUAACGGCCCACCAAGCCUGGGAUGCCUACCGGGCGUGCGAGCGUGGCCCGGCACACUGGGACUGAGACACUGCCCAG
RNAcentral lists this ribosomal RNA (242 nucleotides) under uncultured bacterium. Its description in RNAcentral is "partial 16S ribosomal RNA". It matches the Rfam family "Bacterial small subunit ribosomal RNA", at positions 92 to 334 of the family's 1533-position model. The record is from RNAcentral.